This 95-nucleotide transfer RNA is filed under the name Methylobacterium indicum. Its description in RNAcentral is "tRNA-Arg". The record is from RNAcentral. Lineage: Bacteria; Pseudomonadati; Pseudomonadota; Alphaproteobacteria; Hyphomicrobiales; Methylobacteriaceae.
AGCUGGCCCAGCGCGGCGAGGCGCUCGGCCUCCGCGGCGCGCUGCCGGGCCGCGCCGAGGCGCAGGCCCGCGGCGUUCAACGCCUCGACCAGCCG